This is a non-coding RNA of Acanthosepion pharaonis, 111 nucleotides long. The record is from the annotation of a GenBank genome assembly. Lineage: Eukaryota; Metazoa; Mollusca; Cephalopoda; Sepiida; Sepiidae.
CGAUCACAUCACGGUGAACCAUUGGUUCCCAUACGAUUACCGCAGUUAAGCAACGUCGAGCCUGGUCUGUAUCUAGACGGGUGAGCGCUUGGGAAAUUCCAGGUGAUGAAA